AUCCUUAACUCAACCAGACCGGUGGGUUCCCUGUGUCUUUUUAGAUGCCACGAUUUCAGUUUGCAUUUUCCUUCAGCUUGAGGGCUGAGACAAAAAGCAAUGCUCUGCACGUUCCCCUCUGAGAGGUUUUGCUUUCUAUUCUCAAGCUAGUGGAAGGAGGUAGAGGCAAGGACCGUCCCCGUGUUGCCAAAUUUGGAGUCAUUUCCUCCUCCCAAGUGCUCAAGGCUGUUUGGAGCAGAGGUUGUACUUGAAGCUCAUGUGCAACCCUCAGCAAACUUUUCAUAAACAGGAAAGAGCCCCAGGGAGGAGGACAAGACAGAAAUCAGUUCUUCUCUGAUCUUUUGUUCUUCUCCCCUUUUUUGUCUUAAAACUAACAAUGCAUCACUUGCUUUGUUGUAUCAAGAGCUGCCAGAUGGAAGUAAAACUCCUUCCUUCAGGAGCAUGUGGCACUCUUCGGUGAGGCCUGCAGCAUGCAGCUUGCCUCUCGCUGUACGGAGGUAGCCAGGCUGUUUGCAGCUGAACAAAUGCCACCUACCGGACCCGCUCCCUGACUGCAACUGAAACACAUGCAAAAAUACAGCGUUUGAGAGAGGAAAGUAGGUACAAGCACAGCUGCUAUGGCAAAGACCCUGGGUCUGCGUUCAGGGCAUGUUAUCUCCCAGGCGGCUUCCCAGCCUGGAAGAGCAGAGGGAACACUACCAGAAAGGACUGUCUUCUGUCCACCUACCAUUGGAAUCCCAAAAUGACUUUGUCGAAGUAUCCCAGAAGCGUUUGGCAGUUCCGGUCCCCGUCUCUUGCAGCAAUGCAUGGCUGAGACCGGGAGUUAGACUUUUUGGAUCCAAGGGGCGUUCUGCUUUUACUUCAGCUGAACUACCUGGGAAUGGCUGCAGGUGGACAAAAGCUGCUGGAGAACCCGGGUGUCAUUCCUCCACCAAGGAUCAGUGCCGUUGGCUGGAGGAGCCGGCAGGGAGCGAGAGUGAGAGCCAUGGGAAGGAGAGGAGAAAAUGUGUCCAUCUUGUCGAAACGGAGCAGGUUGCAGCUGUCUGCAGAGCCGUCUUGCGAAGUGACAAGGGAAUAUUUACAUUAUCAAACACUGUGAUGACGAGCAUCUUGGGCUCUUGCAGUGCUGUACGGUUAAGUACGUCAACUAGCACUGUAACUCUGGGCUUGUGCAGCAGGCACGGUAGUUGCAAAAUUUUGGGGGUAGCUACACCCCUCAGACAUUAUCAUGCAUGAAACGGACAGAGCUGUGAAGCAGAUAAGAGUUUCCCUAAAGUUGAGGAGAGAGAGCAUCUUUGAAGGAUGUUUUGAUGUUUAAUAGGUAAGGAAUGCUUUCUGUACCAUUCUGUGGAGAAAUUUUAAUACAGAGAGAAAAAUAUAUGGAAAAAUUUGCUUGGAAAAGAAGGCUCAGUUUUCCUGCUGCAAAGCAUUCAAUUCUUUUCUGUGAAAAUUGAAAUGUUAA
RNAcentral lists this long non-coding RNA (1462 nucleotides) under Struthio camelus australis. RNAcentral describes it as "lncRNA (ENSSCUG00000015477.1)". The record is from RNAcentral. Lineage: Eukaryota; Metazoa; Chordata; Aves; Struthioniformes; Struthionidae.